This is a long non-coding RNA of Sarcophilus harrisii (Tasmanian devil), 369 nucleotides long. RefSeq lists it as uncharacterized. The transcript is spliced from 3 exons. The record is from RefSeq and is a predicted model, not a curated record. NCBI's taxonomy places the organism in Eukaryota, Metazoa, Chordata, Mammalia, Dasyuromorphia, Dasyuridae.
GGAUGGAAUCUUUCAACAUUUCCUCACGGUACUCUCUCUAUUGUGCCUAUAGAAUAUCCUGGAUAUUCUGAUAUCCAGCAAGAUAUCAGAGGGAGAUGAAGGAAGAAGACAAAGGGAAGAAGAGAGGUGCAGAAUGAUUAUAAAUUAAAGUAUAAAGUCAGGUGAAAGAUGGACCCUUCAUUCAGCCUGAUUGAAUCCUUGAUGCUUGAAGUAAUGAGAACUUGGAUGAUUUCAAAUCAUGCAGCUGUUUCAACAAAUAAGAAAAUUUGUGUGUACAAAAUGAGAGGGAUACCUGAAGAUUUGAAGAAAAAUUUCCUUCUUGGGAAGUAUAGAAUGGAAAGAUGAAAGACUUCUAGUAGCCAGGUAUGU